GGGUCGGCUCGCCUAUUGGCGCGGGCAGCUGUCUGUAAAACAGUCCAUUCAGGUUGUGAGUUCAAUUCUCACCCGACCCA
This 80-nucleotide transfer RNA is filed under the name Rivularia sp. (in: cyanobacteria). RNAcentral describes it as "Rivularia sp. (in: Bacteria) tRNA-Tyr". It matches the Rfam family "tRNA". Rfam says of the family: Transfer RNA (tRNA) molecules are approximately 80 nucleotides in length. Their secondary structure includes four short double-helical elements and three loops (D, anti-codon, and T loops). The record is from RNAcentral. Lineage: Bacteria; Bacillati; Cyanobacteriota; Cyanophyceae; Nostocales; Rivulariaceae.